GUCUUCUAGACACAAAAAUUAGAAGUCCGACCUGCCCAGUGAAAAUUUAAACGGCCGCGGUAGCCUGACCGUGCUAAGGUAGCGCAAUCACUUGCCUUUUAAUUGGAGGCUAGUAUGAAUGGUCAGACAAGGGCUUUGCUGUCUCAAAGAAAUCUACAGAAAUUGACCUUUAGGUGAAGAGGCCUAAAUAUAAGUAAAAGACGAGAAGACCCUAUCGAGCUUUAAUCUUCAUUACUCUAAAAAAGUAAAAUAGAUUUUUGUUGGGGCAACAAAGGAGAAACAAAAAUCUCCUUUUUCUCUCUAUGGUGACAAAUUAUAAAAUGAAAACAAAUUAAUAAUUCUAUCUAGACUAAUAAUAAUAGAUAAUAGCUACCGUAGGGAUAACAGACUAAUUUCUCUUGAGAGUUCUAAUCGACAGAGAAGCUUGGCACCUCGAUGUUGGCUUAGGAAACCAGUUGCGAAGCAGAAAUUCAACUUUGUAGGCUUGUUCAGCCUUUAAUUUCCUA
Molecule: ribosomal RNA, 506 nt
Filed under: Siphonosoma cumanense
Lineage: Eukaryota; Metazoa; Annelida; Sipuncula; Golfingiida; Sipunculidae
Description: partial 16S ribosomal RNA
Rfam family: Bacterial large subunit ribosomal RNA
Source: RNAcentral